UACGGAGGGUGCAAGCGUUAAUCGGAAUUACUGGGCGUAAAGCGUGCGUAGGCGGUUCGUUAAGUCUGUUGUGAAAGCCCCGGCUCAACCUGUGAAUGGCAAUGGAUACUGGCGAGCUAGAGUGUGUCAGAGGAUGGUGGAAUUCCCGUGUAGCGGUGAAAUGCGUAGAGAUCGGGAGGAACAUCAGUGGCGAAAGGCGGCCAUCUGGGACAACACUGACGCUGAGGCACGAAAGCGUGGGAAGCAAACAGGGAUUAAGAAA
RNAcentral lists this ribosomal RNA (262 nucleotides) under uncultured bacterium. Its description in RNAcentral is "partial 16S ribosomal RNA". It matches the Rfam family "Bacterial small subunit ribosomal RNA", at positions 524 to 784 of the family's 1533-position model. The record is from RNAcentral.